UCCGAAGUCAAGCAUCAUUGGGCGCGGUCAGUACUUGGGUGGAUGACCACCUGGGAACACCGCGUGCCGUU
This 71-nucleotide ribosomal RNA is filed under the name Caerostris darwini. Lineage: Eukaryota; Metazoa; Arthropoda; Arachnida; Araneae; Araneidae. The record is from RNAcentral.